RNAcentral lists this ribosomal RNA (896 nucleotides) under uncultured alveolate. RNAcentral describes it as "SSU rRNA". It matches the Rfam family "Eukaryotic small subunit ribosomal RNA", at positions 56 to 915 of the family's 1831-position model. The record is from RNAcentral.
UGUCUAAGUAUAAAGGUAUUUACAAUGAAACUGCGAAUGGCUCAUUCAAACAGUUAUAGUUUAUUUGAUAUUCAAACUUAUAUUUACAUAUUAGUUUAAAUGGAUAACCGUGAGUAAUUCUAGAGCUAAUACAUGCGUUACGGGGGACCUCACGGAACCCCAGUAUUUAUUAGAUUUUAAACCAGCAUUCCGCAAGGUCUACUGAGAUGAUUCAUGAUAACUGAUCGAAUUGCUGGGUCUACCAGCAAUAAAUCAUUCAUGUUUCUGCUUCCCAUCAGCUUGAUGGUAGUGUAUUGGACAACCAUGGCAUUCACGGGCUAUCGGGGGAUUAGGGUUCGAUUCCGGAGAGGGAGCCUGAGAAACGGCUACCACUUCUACGGAAGGCAGCAGCGCGAAAAUUAUCCAAUCCUGAUUCAGGAGGUAGUGAAAGAAAUAAUGAACUAGGAUUUAUCCUGGGAUCACAAUGGGCUUGAUUUGCAAACUUUAUUAGCGAGGAACAAUUGGAGGGCAAGUCUGGUGCCAGCAGCCGCGGUAAUUCCAGCUCCAAUAGUGUAUAUUAAUGUUCCUGCAGUUAUUCGAUGCUCGUAGUUGGAUUUCUGGGGGCUGAUUCUGGAGGGCGGCUAUGGCCGCCACCGGUUUCUUCCUUCAUCCACCUGUUAACGUUGUUCGAGAUUCAUUUCUCGGCUUCGGGCUCAGGUAUUUUACCCUUACUAUAUUCAUUUAUUUAUCUUCGUUUUGAGCAAAUUAUAGUGUUUCAGGCAGGCGUGCGCCGGAAUACUUUAACAUGGAAUAAUCGAAUUGGACCGUGUUCCCUAUUUGUUGGUUUGAUGGACACGGAAUGGUUGAUAGGGAUAGUAAUUUUCAGGGAGGCAUUAGUAUUUAAUUUCCAGAGUGAA